Molecule: ribosomal RNA, 1355 nt
Filed under: uncultured bacterium
Lineage: Bacteria
Description: 16S ribosomal RNA
Rfam family: Bacterial small subunit ribosomal RNA
Source: RNAcentral
CUGGCUCAGGAUGAACGCUAGCUACAGGCUUAACACAUGCAAGUCGAGGGGCAGCAUUUUAGUUUGCUUGCAAACUGAAGAUGGCGACCGGCGCACGGGUGAGUAACACGUAUCCAACCUGCCGAUAACUCCGGAAUAGCCUUUCGAAAGAAAGAUUAAUACCGGAUGGCAUACGAAUAUCGCAUGAUAUUUUUAUUAAAGAAUUUCGGUUAUCGAUGGGGAUGCGUUCCAUUAGUUUGUUGGCGGGGUAACGGCCCACCAAGACUACGAUGGAUAGGGGUUCUGAGAGGAAGGUCCCCCACAUUGGAACUGAGACACGGUCCAAACUCCUACGGGAGGCAGCAGUGAGGAAUAUUGGUCAAUGGGCGAGAGCCUGAACCAGCCAAGUAGCGUGAAGGAUGAAGGCUCUAUGGGUCGUAAACUUCUUUUAUAUGGGAAUAAAGUUUUCCACGUGUGGAAUUUUGUAUGUACCAUAUGAAUAAGGAUCGGCUAACUCCGUGCCAGCAGCCGCGGUAAUACGGAGGAUCCGAGCGUUAUCCGGAUUUAUUGGGUUUAAAGGGAGCGUAGGUGGAUUGUUAAGUCAGUUGUGAAAGUUUGCGGCUCAACCGUAAAAUUGCAGUUGAAACUGGCAGUCUUGAGUACAGUAGAGGUGGGCGGAAUUCGUGGUGUAGCGGUGAAAUGCUUAGAUAUCACGAAGAACUCCGAUUGCGAAGGCAGCUCACUAGACUGUGACUGACACUGAUGCUCGAAAGUGUGGGUAUCAAACAGGAUUAGAUACCCUGGUAGUCCACACAGUAAACGAUGAAUACUCGCUGUUUGCGAUAUACAGUAAGCGGCCAAGCGAAAGCAUUAAGUAUUCCCCCUGGGGAGUACGCCGGCAACGGUGAAAAUCAAAGGAAUUGACGGGGGCCCGCACAAGCGGAGGAACAUGUGGUUUAAUUCGAUGAUACGCGAGGAACCUUACCCGGGCUUAAAUUGCAACAGAAUAUAUUGGAAACAGUAUAGCCGUAAGGCUGUUGUGAAGGUGCUGCAUGGUUGUCGUCAGCUCGUGCCGUGAGGUGUCGGCUUAAGUGCCAUAACGAGCGCAACCCUUAUCUUUAGUUACUAACAGGUUAUGCUGAGGACUCUAGUGAGACUGCCGUCGUAAGAUGUGAGGAAGGUGGGGAUGACGUCAAAUCAGCACGGCCCUUACGUCCGGGGCUACACACGUGUUACAAUGGGGGGUACAGAAGGCCGCUACCUGGUGACAGGAUGCUAAUCCCAAAAACCUCUCUCAGUUCGGAUCGAAGUCUGCAACCCGACUUCGUGAAGCUGGAUUCGCUAGUAAUCGCGCAUCAGCCAUGGCGCGGUGAAUA